Molecule: long non-coding RNA, 313 nt
Organism: Peromyscus leucopus (white-footed mouse)
Lineage: Eukaryota; Metazoa; Chordata; Mammalia; Rodentia; Cricetidae
Exons: 3
Source: RefSeq, a predicted model, not a curated record
AGAAGAAUCACUUUGCCCAACUUUAGAAUUUCCAUCAACAGCUUCAGCCAUCAAGAGAGUGUGCUGGAUUCCCAGAGACCACACACAGUUGUCUCCUGGUGCUUGCCAGCCCAAGCGGAGAAUGUCACUGCCUGUUUUAAUGUCUCCGUGGGUUUCUAUAACACAACUGCAGAAGUUUCUGGAACCAAAGUCUAUUGCCAGCCUGGAACCAGAAAUGAUGCUAACUAUGUCUAGAGAAGAUCUUGAGACCUCACCUAACCCAAUCCAGAAGCUCCUUCACACACAUGACUCGAGCCUUGUCUCCAAAGUGAGU